Molecule: long non-coding RNA, 961 nt
Organism: Neopsephotus bourkii (Bourke's parrot)
Lineage: Eukaryota; Metazoa; Chordata; Aves; Psittaciformes; Psittacidae
Exons: 4
Source: RefSeq, a predicted model, not a curated record
CAGAUGUACGAUGCUGUAGCAUAGAGUGAUUAGGACCCAGACUUUUGAGACCCACACAGCACACUGUUUGCUGAAUGUUGUGUUGGCAAAAAGCUAAAAUUACAAAGGGCAGUCUUCAGGCAGAGCUUUACCAUGCAAGUGUCAUUUGGGGUGCCACAUCCUUUGUGUUGAUGCACCAGUUUUAGCACUGGGAGAAAAUUUCAGUAACAAGGUGCAAGUAACUGGGGGGCAGGAUGGAGAAUUGAACUUACGUGGUUUAUUUGUUUUCCUUCCAGCUUUCCCCAGGUCUGUUUGUUUGCCUUGUGCUUGGCUCUGUGUCUCUGAUCCCGUCUGUCCUGGUUUUGUUCUCCUUCCUUUGUUGCUGAUGGUUUCAUGCUGUUUCCAUUCCUCUCCUUUCGUAUGACACAGAUUCUCUGCCUGAGCCAUGUCCAAGGUGUUGGACUCCCUGCAGUUACAGCACAGAGACUCGAUGCUGAGGACAUGACUUCCUGCUUCGCUGGCAGUGUCUGCAUUGUGACACUGGGAACUCUUCAUUUCUUUUUCGCUGUUGCUGGUCUCUUGGUAUUUACAAGAGACCAAGGUUGCACUAGUCUGGAUGAUCUACACACAGUGAGAAAGAGCUUUUUUUACAGUCAACACGGAGAAAACAGACAAAGAAGAAGCCCCCAGGGGAUGGAAAGUGCCUAGUGUCGUUCUGUAAUACAUUAUGGAGAGAAAUGAAAUGCAAAGCCCAUUGUGCAACAUGCAGCAGUGUCCAGACGCUUGGAUGAAGAGGUGGAACCAGUUACGUCUGUAUUUGGGAAAGCUGUUUGACAAGACGAAACGUGAAUUGUCUACGGAGUGAUGCCGUUUGGACACUUCAGAUGCUGAUGCUUUGAGGCCAUUCAGAACCUAAACCUAAAAUACAAUUCCUUGAAAAUCUAGUCCAAUUCAAGUGGAAAACAAAACAAAGCCCCAACAU